CAACUUUCAACAACGGAUCUCUUGGNCUCUUGCAUCGAUGAAGAACGCAGCGAAAUGCGAUAAGUAAUGUGAAUUGCAGAAUUCCGUGAAUCAUCAAAUCUUUGAACGCAAAUUGCACUCUUUGGUAUUCCGAAGAGUAUACUUGCUUGAGGGUUGUU
RNAcentral lists this ribosomal RNA (158 nucleotides) under uncultured Acaulospora. RNAcentral describes it as "5.8S ribosomal RNA". It matches the Rfam family "5.8S ribosomal RNA". Rfam says of the family: 5.8S ribosomal RNA (5.8S rRNA) is a component of the large subunit of the eukaryotic ribosome. It is transcribed by RNA polymerase I as part of the 45S precursor that also contains 18S and 28S rRNA. Lineage: Eukaryota; Fungi; Glomeromycota; Glomeromycetes; Diversisporales; Acaulosporaceae. The record is from RNAcentral.